GAGGAUAUGGCUCAAGCAGAAGAGUGCAUGCUUGGCAUGUAGGAAAUCCUGGGUUCAAUCCCCAGUACCUCCU
RNAcentral lists this transfer RNA (73 nucleotides) under Camelus bactrianus (Bactrian camel). It matches the Rfam family "tRNA". From Rfam's summary of the family: Transfer RNA (tRNA) molecules are approximately 80 nucleotides in length. Their secondary structure includes four short double-helical elements and three loops (D, anti-codon, and T loops). Lineage: Eukaryota; Metazoa; Chordata; Mammalia; Artiodactyla; Camelidae. RNAcentral also lists the same sequence under 2 other names. The record is from Rfam by way of RNAcentral.